AGCUGGUACAGUGAAUGGUGGAAUUGUAGUCCAAUGCCCUCUUAUUAUAGGGAAGAAUUAAAUGGGCAAGGAAAAAAAUGAAUGUGCUUUGGAAAGCAUAAAAUAUCAUCCAAAUGUAAGGUGGUGGUUUGAACCUUUAAAGAGGAGCCCUAAUUCCUGGGAGGCAUUUUACUGUGAUUAAUAAAUGUGUGCAACAUAUCGUUUCGGGAGAUGCUCUGAGGAGGUUUGCUUGGGUGGUUUAAUAUUGGCUGAGUCAACCAGUACAGAAAAGUUGCUGUGCGUUUCCUAAGUUUUGUUUUUGUCAUUUCUUAAUUGCAACUCAAAUCCCUGUUUUCUGCACUGUCAGUAGCUGAAUGGACACGUGUACUUCUCUGGGAAGGCCACUUUUAAAAUCAUCUUUAGAGAUUAGGUUUUGUGUAUCAAACACUGAGCACCACGGUCAAAGAACAAGGUGUUAUAUUUAGAGUUCCCCACAAACGGCUAAAUGGCGCUUGAAUUUUUAUUAGGAUGCUCAUGUUUGGAGUGACUGGCAUUAGCCAGGAGCACUGAGUACGAAGCUGCUUUCAGAUGUCUUCCGGGUGACAGCAAAUGAGGAAGAGGAAGAUUCUUCACCAUCUACUGGGUUUAGGACUAAAGUCUGUCCCCCUCUGAUGCUCCAGGUGGCAUUCACCUUUCAGGGACUUUAAAAGAUUCGAUCAGUCUAUUGGACAUGCAGGCGGGGUCCCUAAGAGUGGGCCCACUUUCUAGUGACAUGUUUUCCUACUUAAAUAUGUGAAGAGCAAAUGCUUGCAGGAAGUGGCUAUAGUUCAAGGUUGUCCUUAAACAAAAAACAAAAAACCAUGUUUCCUUCGUCUAAGCAAAGGAACACAUGGCAAUAACAGUCUGUAUCAUUAUUUUUUUUUUUUACAAAGCUUCGAAAGAACAAUGUUCUGUUGAGCAAAAUUCAGUAGCAUUCUGUAAACAUUAAUUUAAGGAAAUCAAUAGACUCAGUGAGCUAAAGCCAUAUUGCAAGAUAAACUGGCCAGAGUGCCACUUUGUCAAAUAGAUUUUCGUUUUCUCGGCUAGAUAAAGACGGUUUCAAAACGGGGCAAACGUGUUGCAACCAAGGUUUGAAAAGUAUGUGGCCUUCAAACAGUCUGCCUGUUCCUACUACAAAGCUGCAUAAACAUACUUUAAAAAUGAUAAGAUUGGUUUAGGAUUGAUUUGGCUUUCAAAUUUUACAUAUAGUAGAUGUCUUAGUUGUCUCAUAGGAAAAGAAUAAAACAACAUACCAGGCCUUCAGAACAGAAAACGUACUUAGGAGAAAGGGGUUAAACUGUCUUGAGAGACAGAGCACUGGGAGCAGUUUCAAUUGAUGCUCGACUUUAAAAAAGAAAGGAAGAAAGAAAUCUUUAUUCAUGCUGACCCGAUGGGCAACAGGCCUUCUUGCCAAAAUCCCGAAGCCAAACUCUCUAGUGAGUUUGGGAUCAGAGGUUUCAGCUGGUGGAAGCUGCUCACGUUCUGUGCUCGCCAGGCAAUGUCAUGUUAAUUUGGGGGGUGGGGGAGAGCUUGGGGGAAGUGAACCCAGGGAAAGGCUAGGGAAGGAAGAGAAAUGAAGAUCCACCCAUUAGCACCAAGGUUUUUCUCAGCCAGACCGAAAGAGCUGCAGGAUAGUUAGAAAAAAGUGGCCAAAGGAAAGCAUCCCUCCCUUCCUGUGCCUUGGCAGGGACCUCCAUGGAGCCUGUCGCAGGACACUUCCAACUUAGACCGCUUGACACCCUCCAGUGCCAUACUAGCCCUUUUAAAUACUAGCAGCAACCAGCUAUGGCAUGGUGCAAACAGCCCCAUGGGGGAAAUGUAGUAAAAAAGUAAGAACAGUCACAUGAAAACCGACAGGGAGGGAGGUUAAGGAUCUAGCUUGAAUGGACAGUGGAAACGCAUGGAAAAGGAUCACAGGAGUUGGAUUGGGUCUGCAGGGUGGGGAGUGGGGCGCUGCUAUUGGCCAAACUCCGCACAUGAACUUCUCUGACAACCUCAUGAGUGAAGGGAGAGACACACUCUUCUUUAUUUCUUCACCUGAAUUUGAGUCUUUGUCUUUUAGGAGUGGGUAUUUAGAAAAUACAGAAUUGACAAUAACAUGCCUAUCCCCUUAAGGUGUUGAUAACGUCUGUGUCCUUAAAAACAUCACAGAAUUAUCAACAGUGUGCUAGAGUUGAGCCUUUUGAGUACUUGUGACUUUUAGGCAACAGGAAAGAGUCUUAACAUCUUCUAUCCUACCUGUUAAUAAAUUGUGUAUACAUUUUAAAUUAGGAAAGAAUUCCACUGGCAACUCUGCCCAUGGAUAUUACGAUAAAUAAAACAGUCUCUUACAUAGCUCCAGUAAAAGAUGGUAUUAGCUUGCCAGGAACAGAAUGACAAAUGCCUAUGACAAAAUGCCGGAAUUGGUUCGUGGGGCUGAAAUUUGGUUCACUGAAUACGCUUAAAGUGGAUAGUUUAUUUGCUCACUCAUCGAAGUCUUGGUGUUAUAGGUGUUAGGAAACAUAAUGAUUGUCCCAUUAUUUGUUGUCAUGGACUCAAUUUUCCUUCCUUCCCAAACUCUGCAUAUGUUUCAAAGAGUGAUUCCAAGUUUAAAGAAACAAAUUUGUGAACAAGAUAAAAACAAAAUCAACAAAAGAAAAAGCAGCAAACACUAAAACCUACUACCCCCUCCCCUCACUCCAAGAUAGUACACAGAUACUCUUAAUAUCUUAAAACAACUGGAAACAUAUCACUGGAACAGGAGUUAGACCAAGACUAUACCAUCAUAGAAUCACAGAAUUUUGGAGCUUCAGGACUAGAAGGAAUCUCGGUGAGUUCAUGUUCCACCAAAGAGAGAAACAACCUCUAGCCAGGGGUCAGCAAACUUUGUCUGUAAAGGGCUAGAUAAAAAAUAUAUAGGCUUUGUGGGCCAUAUUUAGUUUAGAUUGGAUAUUCUUCUUAUUUUUUACAACUGUUUAAAAAUAUAAAAGCCAUUCUUAGCUUGAGACCAUGAAAAACAGACUGUCAGAUCUGGCCCAUAAGCCACAGUUUGGGAAGCCCUGCUCUUAGCCGGACUUGGGGCCAACAACUUUUCUGAAGGCCUAAUGUUCUUCCAUUCUGCACUAAUCCUGUGUGCCUCACCGAUUGGGCAUACCAGGUCUUCUCGCAGGGUAGCUGGGAUCGACUCGCCCAAAUUUAACCAGAAACGUCAUGUGUUUUUUCAUAUACAGGUGAGCAGAGCAAGAGCCCAAGGAGGCAGGUAUAGCCAAAGCCAGGCCCUCCAGGCAAAUGUUCCUAACACCACCCUCUGGCCUCUCCUCACUGCCCUUCUCAUCUGGAACAGAUGACUCCAGGAGCAGGGGGGCUGUUCCAGUCUAGGGUCGCCUUUACAGCCACUCUUGGGGCAGGAGGAAUCUCUUUCUCUUAUUAAAACCAGUUUUGCAUUGA
Microcebus murinus (gray mouse lemur) is the source of this 3444-nucleotide non-coding RNA. The record is from RefSeq and is a predicted model, not a curated record. Lineage: Eukaryota; Metazoa; Chordata; Mammalia; Primates; Cheirogaleidae.